AAAUUGAAGAGUUUGAUCAUGGCUCAGAUUGAACGCUGGCGGCAGGCCUAACACAUGCAAGUCGAACGGUAGCACAGAGAGCUUGCUCUCGGGUGACGAGUGGCGGACGGGUGAGUAAUGUCUGGGAAACUGCCCGAUGGAGGGGGAUAACUACUGGAAACGGUAGCUAAUACCGCAUAACGUCGCAAGACCAAAGUGGGGGACCUUCGGGCCUCACACCAUCGGAUGUGCCCAGAUGGGAUUAGCUAGUAGGUGGGGUAACGGCUCACCUAGGCGACGAUCCCUAGCUGGUCUGAGAGGAUGACCAGCCACACUGGAACUGAGACACGGUCCAGACUCCUA
Molecule: ribosomal RNA, 342 nt
Filed under: Salmonella enterica subsp. enterica serovar Kentucky
Lineage: Bacteria; Pseudomonadati; Pseudomonadota; Gammaproteobacteria; Enterobacterales; Enterobacteriaceae
Description: bacterial SSU rRNA
Rfam family: Bacterial small subunit ribosomal RNA
Source: RNAcentral